Molecule: ribosomal RNA, 679 nt
Filed under: fungal endophyte
Lineage: Eukaryota; Fungi
Description: eukaryotic LSU rRNA
Rfam family: 5.8S ribosomal RNA (bases 203-356)
Source: RNAcentral
GCGGAGGGAUCAUUACGAAAAGGAGUACCCGUACUCUUAAACCCUUUGUGAACCUUACCUACACGUCAGUUGCUUCGGCGGGAGGCCCCUGGGAGGGGCCCCGGGGCCCGGCCUGAGCCGGGCUCCCGCCGGAGGAGCGCAAACAUAAACUCUUGCUGUACCCCAGUGGAACGUCCGAGUCAAAAAUAAAAAAACAAGUUAAAACUUUCAACAACGGAUCUCUUGGUUCUGGCAUCGAUGAAGAACGCAGCGAAAUGCGAUAAGUAAUGUGAAUUGCAGAAUUCAGUGAAUCAUCGAAUCUUUGAACGCACAUUGCGCCCGCCAGUAUUCUGGCGGGCAUGCCUGUUCGAGCGUCAUUUCAACCACUCAGGCCCUGGUGCCUGGCGUCGGGGUGUUUCCGUGAAAGGAAAGCCCCCAGAGACAGUGGCGGACCCGCCGCGGCUCCGAGCGCAGUAGUAAAAUAUCUCGCUAUGGAGGUCCGCGGGGGGGUUUCCCGGCCGUAAAAACCCUCCCUGCACGGGGAGAAUCUCAAGGUUGACCUCGGAUCAGGUAGGAAUACCCGCUGAACUUAAGCAUAUCAAUAAGCGGAGGAAAAGAAACCAACAGGGAUUGCCCCAGUAACGGCGAGUGAAGCGGCAACAGCUCAGAUUUGAAAUCUGGCCCCCAGGGCCCGAGUUGU